GUGCUCGCUUUGGCAGCACAUGUACUAAAAUUGGAACGAUCCAAAAAGAUGAGUAUGGCCCCUGUGCAAGGAUGACAUGCAAAUUCGUGAAGUGUUCCAUAUUUUU
RNAcentral lists this small nuclear RNA (106 nucleotides) under Catagonus wagneri (Chacoan peccary). The record is from RNAcentral. Lineage: Eukaryota; Metazoa; Chordata; Mammalia; Artiodactyla; Tayassuidae.